Long non-coding RNA from Oncorhynchus keta (chum salmon), 1923 nucleotides. RefSeq lists it as uncharacterized. The record is from RefSeq and is a predicted model, not a curated record. Lineage: Eukaryota; Metazoa; Chordata; Actinopteri; Salmoniformes; Salmonidae. The transcript has 4 exons.
GCCACGGUCGCAGUUUAAAUUCCCACAGGGACCACAUACAAACUAAAUAGUCUUCUCUCACUGAACCGCAAGUGGCUUUGGAUCAGAGCGUCUGCUAAGUGGAAUAUAUUUGAAGUGACAUCAUAUCUCACCAUUCUAGCUGGAAUGGCAGAGUAUUCAACACAUGAAGCUAUGUCAAUCACAUCUGUCAAAUAGAAAUCCAGGUUGGAUGUGAGGACAGCAGCACAGUGAAGUUGUCCGGGGUGUUGGAGAAACACGCCUGGAGAUGCAGGGACAUGCAGAAAACAUGCAUGAGAGAGAGAAGGAGCAUGCAGCCAGCCAAGAGUGCUUGUUGUUUGUAUGUGAAACAUCACACACACACACCUCAACUCACGCGAUCCCGCUCAAACCACAACAUACACACGGGGGCGAGCGGGGUCGCGCACACACAUGACUCAACACACACGUGAGCGCAAUCCCGCUCAAGAUACGCGCGCAUGACCCCACUCAAACAAACACACACACACACACACACACACACACACACACACACACACACACACACACACACACACACACACACACACACACACACACACACACACACACACACACACACACACACACACACACACAGUUAUUGUGGUUGCUGUAGUAAAAUGAACAAGUCCUUCCAUAUCUUGGCUAGUGUUAUCACUGAUCUGGCAGUAGUAAGCAUCUGCUUCUCCAUAGAACUCUGUUCUCUUCCUCAGAGAACCCUGCUGGUUCUGCUGGUCCACCCGGCCCAGAUUCUACUGUCGCCAGGGGAGUCUCUCUCACACCUACAACAGAAAAACACACAACUCUCUCUCCUCCACACACACAGAGUCCGAAUACAGUAUGCCGCAAAGUUCACAGUCUCACACGCCAGUUCACAUCACACUCAGGUGACACUCAGAAUCUUUUCCAUACUGCAGGUUAAGUUCCUGCCGACAGGGAAGGUUGCAGAAUCACAAAGCCUGUGGUCCGUUUGUACAACUACCAUUGGCUGGAUCAGAGCCAUGCACUUGAAAUGUAUGACUAUGGGCUGAAUCAUUCAUUCAUUCACUCACACUCAGAGAAAGUCUGCUCUCAUUACCAGAAAACCGCCUCAUACAACAAAUAAUCCAGCAAUGUAAACACACACACACCAAGCAGGGGACGCAAUGGUACUGCUGUAACGGUAGUAAAAGUGAUGGAGCACACGGAACUGAAGACACAGAGCAUGCAACAGUAUGGGGGAAGGUAACGGGCAGGUAGGGACAAGUAGGGAGGAGUGUAACGGGCAGGUAGGGACAAGUAGGGAGGAGUGUAACAGGCAGGUAGGGACAAGUAGGGAGAAGUGUAACGGGCAGGUAGGGACAAGUAGGGAGGAGUGUAACGGGCAAGUAGGGACAAGUAGGGAGGAGUGUAACGGGCAGGUAGGGACAAGUAGGGAGGAGUGUAACGGGCAGGUAGGGACAAGUAGGGAGGAGUGUAACAGGCAGGUAGGGACAAGUAGGGAGAAGUGUAACGGGCAGGUAGGGACAAGUAGGGAGGAGUGUAACGGGCAAGUAGGGACAAGUAGGGAGGAGUGUAACGGGCAGGUAGGGACAAGUAGGGAGGAGUGUAACGGGCAGGUAGGGACAAGUAGGGAGAAGUGUAACGGGCAGGUAGGGACAAGUAGGGAGGAGUGUAACGGGCAAGUAGGGACAAGUAGGGAGGAGUGUAACGGGCAGGUAGGGACAAGUAGGGAGGAGUGUAACGGGCAGGUAGGGACAAGUAGGGAGGAGUGUAACAGGCAGGUAGGGACAAGUAGGGAGAAGUGUAACGGGCAGGUAGGGACAAGUAGGGAGGAGUGUAACGGGCAAGUAGGGACAAGUAGGGAGGAGUGUAACGGGCAGGUAGGGACAAGUAGGGAGGAGUGUAACGGGCAGGUAGGGACAA